CGCCUGGGGAGUGCGGUCGCAAGAUUAAAACUCAAAUGAAUUGACGGGGGCCCGCACAAGCGGUGGAGCAUGUGGUUUAAUUCGAUGCAGCGCGAAGAACCUUACCUACUCUUGACAUCCAGAGAACCUUUUAGAGAUAGAAGGGUGCCUUCGGGAACUCUGAGACAGGUGCUGCAUGGCUGUCGUCAGCUCGUGUUGUGAAAUGUUGGGUUAAGUCCCGCAACGAGCGCAACCCUUAUCCUUGUUUGCCAGCACUUCGGGUGGGAACUCCAGGGAGACUGCCGGUGAUAAGCCGGAGGAAGGUGGGGACGACGUCAAGUCAUCAUGGCCCUUACGAGUAGGGCUACACACGUGCUACAAUGGCAUAUACAGAGGGCUGCCAACUCGCGAGAGUGAGCGAAUCCCAUAAAGUAUGUCGUAGUCCGGAUUGGAGUCUGCAACUCGACUCCAUGAAGUCGGAAUCGCUAGUAAUCGUGGAUCAGAAUGCCACGGUGAAUACGUUCCCGGGCCUUGAACACACCGCCCGUC
This 528-nucleotide ribosomal RNA is filed under the name uncultured Vibrionaceae bacterium. RNAcentral describes it as "bacterial SSU rRNA". It matches the Rfam family "Bacterial small subunit ribosomal RNA", at positions 870 to 1398 of the family's 1533-position model. The record is from RNAcentral. Lineage: Bacteria; Pseudomonadati; Pseudomonadota; Gammaproteobacteria; Vibrionales; Vibrionaceae.